This 35-nucleotide small RNA is filed under the name Arabidopsis thaliana (thale cress). RNAcentral describes it as "ATSL269760". Lineage: Eukaryota; Viridiplantae; Streptophyta; Magnoliopsida; Brassicales; Brassicaceae. The record is from RNAcentral.
AAUGAGUGAGUAUACCAACUAGAACCGCAAUUGGA